Molecule: ribosomal RNA, 508 nt
Filed under: uncultured bacterium
Lineage: Bacteria
Description: partial 16S ribosomal RNA
Rfam family: Bacterial small subunit ribosomal RNA
Source: RNAcentral
GACGAACGCUGGCGGCGUGCCUAAUACAUGCAAGUCGAACGCUUCUUUCCUCCCGAGUGCUUGCACUCAAUUGGAAAAAGGAGUGGCGGACGGGUGAGUAACACGUGGGUAACCUACCCAUCAGAGGGGGAUAACACUUGGAAACAGGUGCUAAUACCGCAUAACAGUUUAUGCCGCAUGGCAUAAGAGUGAAGGGCGCUUUCGGGUGUCGCUGAUGGAUGGACCCGCGGUGCAUUAGCUAGUUGGUGAGGUAACGGCUCACCAAGGCCACGAUGCAUAGCCGACCUGAGAGGGUGAUCGGCCACACUGGGACUGAGACACGGCCCAGACUCCUACGGGAGGCAGCAGUAGGGAAUCUUCGGCAAUGGACGAAAGUCUGACCGAGCAACGCCGCGUGAGUGAAGAAGGUUUUCGGAUCGUAAAACUCUGUUGUUAGAGAAGAACAAGGACGUUAGUAACUGAACGUCCCCUGACGGUAUCUAACCAGAAAGCCACGGCUAACUACGUG